This 385-nucleotide ribosomal RNA is filed under the name uncultured bacterium. RNAcentral's name for it is "bacterial SSU rRNA". It matches the Rfam family "Bacterial small subunit ribosomal RNA", at positions 28 to 414 of the family's 1533-position model. The record is from RNAcentral.
GAUGAACGCUAGCGGCAGGCCUAACACAUGCAAGUCGAGGGGCAGCACGUCUUCGGAUGGUGGCGACCGGCGCACGGGUGCGUAACGCGUAUGCAACCUACCUCUUACAGUGGGAUAGCCCAGAGAAAUUUGGAUUAACACCGCAUAGUAUACAGAUUCAGCAUUGGGACUGUAUUAAACAUUUAUGGGUAAGAGAUGGGCAUGCGUUCUAUUAGUUAGUUGGAGUGGUAACGGCACCCCAAGACAGCGAUAGAUAGGGGCCCUGAGAGGGGGAUCCCCCACACUGGUACUGAGACACGGACCAGACUCCUACGGGAGGCAGCAGUGGGGAAUAUUGCGCAAUGGGCGAAAGCCUGACGCAGCCAUGCCGCGUGCGUGAAGAAGG